RNAcentral lists this ribosomal RNA (305 nucleotides) under uncultured bacterium. Its description in RNAcentral is "partial 16S ribosomal RNA". It matches the Rfam family "Bacterial small subunit ribosomal RNA", at positions 337 to 659 of the family's 1533-position model. The record is from RNAcentral.
UCCUACGGGGGGCAGCAGUGGGGGAUAUUGCACAAUGGGGGGAACCCUGAUGCAGCGACGCCGCGUGGGUGAAGAAGCGCCUCGGCGCGUAAAGCCCUGUCCGCAGGGAAGAAAAUGACGGUACCUGAAGAAGAAGCCCCGGCUAACUACGUGCCAGCAGCCGCGGUAAUACGUAGGGGGCAAGCGUUAUCCGGAUUUACUGGGUGUAAAGGGGGCGCAGACGGCGAUGCAAGCCAGGAGUGAAAGCCCGGGGCUCAACCCCGGGACUGCUCUUGGAACUGCGUGGCUGGAGUGCAGGAGGGGCG